AUGAUAUUAAAUAACAUGGAUAGUAAUUUAGAAAAUAAUUCAUUAAUUUUAGAAAGUAUUGCAUCUAAAAAUUUGAUGUGGGUAGUGCAUGAUUUUAAUCAACGUUUGGAUGUACGAAAAGGGAAAUUGUGGUUAAAUAUUUUAUUAAAUUCGGAUAGAAGAGAUUUAGAUAUAAAAUAUUGGAAAAAAAUUAUAUCCAAUAAAAGUAAAGAUAAAUAUGAUGCUUAUACGACAAAACAAAAGAAAAUAGAAUAUUUAACAUAUUCAGGCAGUACAGGCCAUAAUGGUGACGCGAAAGAUAAAUUAAAAAACGAAACAUCCAGUAAUUAUAAGUUAGAUGUUCUUUAUAAAAAUAUAGAUUGUAUUUUGUUAAGAACAAUGUAUAAUAAUAAAAAUUUUGAUUUUACUAAUGCGAACUUGAGCGAUUUAAAUGAUGAAUAUAAAAAUGAUGUUACAUUAUUAAAGUAUAAAAUAUAUUUAAGAGCUUUGUUAUAUCCGAAAAAAAUGUAUACAAACGUUCAGAUGAAUUAUGCUAUGUAUAAGGAUAAAAAAGGAGGCGAUAGUAAUGAAUCUAGUUCUACUACAGAAGAAGAAAAAAAAAAAAAAGCGGACAGCAGUGGUCAGAAUAACGAUGACACAAAAUUGAAUGUCUCGAAUAUGCGUAAUAGAUAUAUGUCAGGACAAGAUGUGUAUGAUUUUAUCACUUUUUUAAUUAAAUCGGCUAAUCAAAAUUUAUUUACUAACAUUAAUCAAUUUUUUAAAAAUUUCAAAAUUAAUAGAGCAGAAAUAAGUAGAAACGAUUUAAUUUUUUUAUAUAAAAAAUAUUUAUUACAAUUUAUGGAAAAUGAAGAUGUAAAGUUUUUAAGCUAUAUGAAUGAAGAGAAUGAAUAUAUAAAUAGUGAUUUGGAAAACAAUUUAAAUAGUGAUAAUGUGAAUGAAAAAAGUAGUAUGAGCAAUCGAUUUGAAGAAGAAUUAUUUAAUGAAGAUUUUUUAGACGAAAGCGAAAUGUUUAAAAAUGAAAAGGAUAAAAAAGAUUUAUAUAAAUUACCACCAUUACUUAAUGAAAUAAAAAAAUAUGAAGAAAUAAUUAGAGAACAGAUUUUAAAUAUUUGGUAUAAAUAUACAGAAAGUGAUUUUCAUGAUGAGGAAGAAAAAGAAUUGAUAAAAGAUAUUGAAUCUAAUUUAUAUGACAGAUUAGAUCAAAUAAAACAAGAUAUGUUAGAACUAGGUGAAUCUAAUAUUCUUAAAUUUUGUAAAAUUGCAUGUGAUGAUUCUUUACAAAUAAUAAUAGAAGAUGUCAAAAUGAAAAGUGACCAAUACCCAAUUAAACAAAAAGAUUUAACCUUCUUUUUUGAAUCGGUUAGUUAUAAUUUAGUAAAAUAUUUAGAAAAAAAACUUUCCAAAAAUCCGGAAAAGUUAGACUUAAUAUAUUAUAAAGAUGAAAUAUGUACUCCUUUAAUUAAUAAUACAUUUCAAGAAUUUUAUUAUUUAAAAAAAAAGAAUAUUACUUUAAAUGAACAGAAAAUAAAAGCAUAUUUUACCAAUGCUGUAUUAAAAGGUAGGGAAGUUUUUGAAAGUUUAGCAGAUAGUACCGAAAAUAUAACUGAAUAUUUUAAAAAUAAAAAUGUAUUUUAUACCAUAUUAGAUAAAUGGAAUGCAGAAGCAGUAAAUGCAUAUAUGUUAGCAUUAGGUGAAUUUUAUAAAGAAGAAAAAGAAAUCAACGAUACAUUUUUAAUUGUUUUAGAUAAUGAUAUAAAAAAUUCUAAACAAGCAGCUAUGAAAAAAUGGCAUAAUCAUUGUAAAGAUAAAACUAGUAAUUUAUACAAUAUGCAUAAAGGUAAUUUAAGAAAAUUAUUUAUGGAAAAUUUUAAUUUCCCAUUAGAUGAAUUAGUAUUACAAGAUAUAUUUUUAAGUUUAAAAAAUCAAGAAGAAUUAAAAUACAUGGAAAUAUAUUGUGCCAAUGAAGAAUCAUGGAACAGUGAAUAUAAAAAAUUUUUAGAAUUAACAGAUGAAAUAUAUAAAGUAAUAAAAGAUGAAAAUUUAAAAGCAAUUCAAAUAACUUGUCAACAACCGUUAGAUGAUUUAAAAAAUGGAAUAAAAAAUGAAAUUCAUAAAUAUUAUUUUUGGAGAUCAUUUAAAAUUACAUUAUAUGAAAGAGCAUUAGUUGUUCUUGCUAAUAAUAUUGAACAUAUAUAUUUAAAAAAUCAAAAAGAAAAUAAAAUAAAACCAUCAGUAGAAGAAACUGUAAAUCAAAGAAAUACCCAAUAUAAAAAAAUAUCAAAAGAAUUAAUGAGUAAAGUUAUAAAUAGAUGGUUAAAUACUGAUAUAUAUGAAUUAUAUUAUCCUAUUAUAAGAAAACAGUUUAUUCAAAGAAUUAUUUUUCUUAUGGGUGUAUUCAUAUUAAUAUUUGUACUGUUAUUAAUUUUAUACUUUAAAAAAUUCCAUAUCAGUUUUCUAUUCCUUUUAAUUAUUUCCAUGUUUAUGAUAUUUGGAUAUGCACAAAUAUUAUUAUACUUAAAGAAAUUUUUUAGACAUGUUGUUUUCUACAUGUAUGAUGGAAUAGCAAAUGUAUUCGGUACAGAAGGAGCAAUUAUAUUUACAAUUUUAUUAAUUUCAGUAACAGCUAUAUAUGUAUAUAAUUAUCAUAUUGUAAGGUUUAAAAAUAAAGUAGCAAAAAAUACGAAAAAAUUAUUACAAUCACAAAAUUUGUUAAAUUUAUCAGGGACUACCGGAUUAAAAGAUUCAUAUGCUAAUCCUAGAGUCAGAAUAUAUAAACCAACUUUUAUGAAAUUCCCAUAUUAUGAACAAAAACCAAAUAUGUUUUCAACUAACGUUCCACCAGAAUAUAAAAUGGCAAAUGAUGCAUCUCAGUAUAUGGAUAUGAGUAAUAAAUUCAACAAGUCAAGUAAAAUGGAUGAUUAUGCAUCAUACAACGCCUCCAGUAAAUUCCAGAGAAGAUCUUAUUUGUCAUAG
Molecule: long non-coding RNA, 2973 nt
Filed under: Piliocolobus tephrosceles (Ugandan red Colobus)
Lineage: Eukaryota; Metazoa; Chordata; Mammalia; Primates; Cercopithecidae
Description: lncRNA (ENSPTEG00000007455.1)
Source: RNAcentral